RNAcentral lists this ribosomal RNA (684 nucleotides) under Streptococcus sp. HFB0002. RNAcentral describes it as "bacterial SSU rRNA". It matches the Rfam family "Bacterial small subunit ribosomal RNA", at positions 74 to 748 of the family's 1533-position model. Lineage: Bacteria; Bacillati; Bacillota; Bacilli; Lactobacillales; Streptococcaceae. The record is from RNAcentral.
GCUUGCACCGAGCGGAUGAGUUGCGAACGGGUGAGUAACGCGUAGGUAACCUGCCUCUUAGCGGGGGAUAACUAUUGGAAACGAUAGCUAAUACCGCAUAAAAGUCGACAUUGCAUGAUGUUGAUUUGAAAGGUGCAAUUGCAUCACUAAGAGAUGGACCUGCGUUGUAUUAGCUAGUUGGUGAGGUAACGGCUCACCAAGGCGACGAUACAUAGCCGACCUGAGAGGGUGAUCGGCCACACUGGGACUGAGACACGGCCCAGACUCCUACGGGAGGCAGCAGUAGGGAAUCUUCGGCAAUGGGGGCAACCCUGACCGAGCAACGCCGCGUGAGUGAAGAAGGUUUUCGGAUCGUAAAGCUCUGUUGUAAGAGAAGAACGAGUGUGAGAGUGGAAAGUUCACACUGUGACGGUAACUUACCAGAAAGGGACGGCUAACUACGUGCCAGCAGCCGCGGUAAUACGUAGGUCCCGAGCGUUAUCCGGAUUUAUUGGGCGUAAAGCGAGCGCAGGCGGUUAGAUAAGUCUGAAGUUAAAGGCUGUGGCUUAACCAUAGUACGCUUUGGAAACUGUUUAACUUGAGUGCAGAAGGGGAGAGUGGAAUUCCAUGUGUAGCGGUGAAAUGCGUAGAUAUAUGGAGGAACACCGGUGGCGAAAGCGGCUCUCUGGUCUGUAACUGACGCUG